AGGAUAAUAGUUAAAUAUAACAGUUAAUUUGCAAUUAAAAAUUAUUGUCUAUCAAUUUAUCUUA
This 64-nucleotide transfer RNA is filed under the name Impressosora ruficollis. Its description in RNAcentral is "Eutrapela ruficollis tRNA-Ala". The record is from RNAcentral. Lineage: Eukaryota; Metazoa; Arthropoda; Insecta; Coleoptera; Tenebrionidae.